This 684-nucleotide ribosomal RNA is filed under the name uncultured Vibrionaceae bacterium. Its description in RNAcentral is "bacterial SSU rRNA". It matches the Rfam family "Bacterial small subunit ribosomal RNA", at positions 1 to 671 of the family's 1533-position model. The record is from RNAcentral. Lineage: Bacteria; Pseudomonadati; Pseudomonadota; Gammaproteobacteria; Vibrionales; Vibrionaceae.
AUAUAUAUAUACAGAGUUUGAUCAUGGCUUAGAUUGAACGCUGGCGGCAGGCUUAACACAUGCAAGUCGAGCGGUAACAGGAAUAGCUUGCUAUUUGCUGACGAGCGGCGGACGGGUGAGUAAUGCUUGGGAAUAUGCCUUAUGGUGGGGGACAACAGUUGGAAACGACUGCUAAUACCGCAUAAUGUCUACGGACCAAAGGGGGGGAUCUUCGGACCUCUCGCCAUUUGAUUAGCCCAAGUGAGAUUAGCUAGUUGGUAAGGUAAUGGCUUACCAAGGCGACGAUCUCUAGCUGGUUUGAGAGGAUGAUCAGCCACACUGGGACUGAGACACGGCCCAGACUCCUACGGGAGGCAGCAGUGGGGAAUAUUGCACAAUGGGGGGAACCCUGAUGCAGCCAUGCCGCGUGUGUGAAGAAGGCCUUCGGGUUGUAAAGCACUUUCAGUUGUGAGGAAAGGUGUGUAGUUAAUAGCUGCAUACUGUGACGUUAACAACAGAAGAAGCACCGGCUAACUUCGUGCCAGCAGCCGCGGUAAUACGAGGGGUGCAAGCGUUAAUCGGAAUUACUGGGCGUAAAGCGUUCGUAGGCGGUUGAAUAAGCAAGAUGUGAAAGCCCAGGGCUCAACCUUGGAACUGCAUUUUGAACUGUUCGACUAGAGUACUGUAGAGGGGGGUAGAAUUUCA